This 460-nucleotide ribosomal RNA is filed under the name uncultured bacterium. Its description in RNAcentral is "partial 16S ribosomal RNA". It matches the Rfam family "Bacterial small subunit ribosomal RNA", at positions 338 to 795 of the family's 1533-position model. The record is from RNAcentral.
CCUACGGGAGGCAGCAGUGAGGAAUAUUGGUCAAUGGGCGUACGCCUGAACCAGCCAAGUCGCGUGAGGGAAGACUGCCCUAUGGGUUGUAAACCUCUUUUGUCAGGGAGCAACGCCGGCUACGUGUCGCCGGACUGAGAGUACCUGAAGAAAAAGCAUCGGCUAACCCCGUGCAGCAGCCGCGGUAAUACGGAGGAUGCGAGCGUUAACCGGAUUUAUUGGGGUUAAAGGGUUCGGAGGCCGGAAUAUAAAGUCAGGGGUAAAAAUUGGGGGCCCACCCCCGUCGUGCCGUUGAAACUGAUGUUCUUGAGUGGGCGAGAAGUAUGCGGAAUGCGUGGUGUAGCGGUGAAAUGCAUAGAUAUCACGCAGAACUCCGAUUGCGAAGGCAGCAUACCGGCGCCCAACUGACGCUGAAGCACGAAAGCGUGGGUAUCGAACAGGAUUAGAUACCCUGGUAGUC